GUUUUGGUCCUAAACUUGCCAUUGUUUUUUAUCAAAUUUACACAUGCAAGCUUCAACAACCCAGUGAGAUUGCCCAAAACCCCUAAAUAGCUAUAAGGAGCUGGCAUCAGGAUUACAGAGUCAUCUAGCCCAAAACGCCUUGCUACGCCACACCCACACGGGUAUUCAGCAGUGAAUAACAUUAAAACAUGAGCGAAAGCUCGACUUAGUUAUGAUAAAUAUGGCCGGUAAAUUUCGUGCCAGCCACCGCGGUUAUACGAGAGGCCAAAAACAAUGACCAACGGCGUAAAGCGUGAUCAGAGCGUGUCAAGAAAUUUAAAGAAGAACCACCUCAAAGCCGUAAAACACCUUGACCGUGAGACUAUCAACAAUAAAAGACUUUAAACAACAGACCCCUUCCUCUCACGAAAGCUAAGGAACAAACUAGGAUUAGAUACCCUACUAUGCUUAGCCCUUAACACAGACAGUACACAUACAAUACUGUCCGCCAGAGAACUACAAGUGAAAAACUAGAAACUCCAAGGACUUGGCGGUGCUCCAUACCGACCUAGAGGAGCCUGUCCUAUAAUCGAUAAUCCACGUUUCACCUUACCCUUUUUUGUAUUUCAGCCUAUAUACCGCCGUCGUCAGCCUACCUUAUGAAAGGAACGAAGUAGGCAAAACAGUUUUCAACUAGAACGUCAGGUCAAGGUGUAGCAUAUGGAAGGGAAGAGAUGGGCUACACUUUCUUCCAUAGAACAAACGGAUUGCACAGUGAAAUCUGAGCUUAAAGGUGGAUUUAGCAGUAAGUCAGACAAGAAAAACUGCCUGAACCCCGCUCUGGAGCGCGCACACACCGCCCGUC
This 844-nucleotide non-coding RNA is filed under the name Trachylepis polytropis (tropical mabuya). RNAcentral describes it as "partial 12S ribosomal RNA". It matches the Rfam family "Bacterial small subunit ribosomal RNA". Lineage: Eukaryota; Metazoa; Chordata; Lepidosauria; Squamata; Scincidae. The record is from RNAcentral.